UUGACACUGAACAUUGUAAAGUUCUGGUCUCCAUUUGUUAAAGUACAUGGAGGCCCUGGAUUUGCUACCAGAACUGUGAGGAUAUAUUGUUCAGGAAAGAAUGAGCCGACUGGAAGAAAAGAAGAUGAAAGAUGAAAGAGUGUAACUGCAAGAAGAUUACCUCAGCAAUCCCUUUGUCAGCUUUGGGAGAUGGGUUGUCGGAGGAAAGCAGAGCACCCAGAGAAACCCACAGAGUCACUGGAAGAACAUGGACAGUUAGGAUUGAACUCAGCUGCCUGGAGUUGGGAAGUGUUGCCU
Molecule: long non-coding RNA, 297 nt
Organism: Hypanus sabinus (Atlantic stingray)
Lineage: Eukaryota; Metazoa; Chordata; Chondrichthyes; Myliobatiformes; Dasyatidae
Exons: 3
Source: RefSeq, a predicted model, not a curated record